GUGGGUAACCUGCCCAAGAGACUGGGAUAACACCUGGAAACAGAUGCUAAUACCGGAUAACAACACUAGACGCAUGUCUAGAGUUUGAAAGAUGGUUCUGCUAUCACUCUUGGAUGGACCUGCGGUGCAUUAGUUAGUUGGUAAGGUAACGGCUUACCAAGGCAAUGAUGCAUAGCCGAGUUGAGAGACUGAUCGGCCACAUUGGGACUGAGACACGGCCCAAACUCCUACGGGAGGCAGCAGUAGGGAAUCUUCCACAAUGGACGAAAGUCUGAUGGAGCAACGCCGCGUGAGUGAAGAAGGGUUUCGGCUCGUAAAGCUCUGUUGGUAGUGAAGAAAGAUAGAGGUAGUAACUGGCCUUUAUUUGACGGUAAUUACUUAGAAAGUCACGGCUAACUACGUGCCAGCAGCCGCGGUAAUACGUAGGUGGCAAGCGUUGUCCGGAUUUAUUGGGCGUAAAGCGAGUGCAGGCGGUUCAAUAACUCUGAUGUGAAAGCCUUUCGGCUCAACCGGAGAAUUGCAUC
This 524-nucleotide ribosomal RNA is filed under the name uncultured bacterium. Its description in RNAcentral is "bacterial SSU rRNA". It matches the Rfam family "Bacterial small subunit ribosomal RNA", at positions 117 to 627 of the family's 1533-position model. The record is from RNAcentral.